Molecule: unclassified non-coding RNA, 476 nt
Filed under: Hevea brasiliensis (rubber tree)
Lineage: Eukaryota; Viridiplantae; Streptophyta; Magnoliopsida; Malpighiales; Euphorbiaceae
Source: RNAcentral
CUUUCAGUUCCAAAGUCUCAAUCUUCAGAGUCAGUGCAGCCAAAACCUAGUGAUCCAGAGCCGACACAAAAUGAAAAUUCUACUGCUUCAGAGGAUGUUCCAAUGACAGAAGGAUCUUCAGUUUCAACUGCUAUUGUGCAGGAAACUGAUCCAAAUGAAGCAAUAUAUGCUGAGAGGCUGACAAAAAUCAGGGGAAUUUUGUCUGGGGAGACAUCAAUUCAGUUGACUCUACAAUUUCUAUACAGUCAUAACAAAUCGGAUCUUCUUAUUCUGAAGACAAUCAAGCAGUCUGUUGAGAUGAGGAAUAGUGUUUGUCACAGUGCAACUAUCUAUGCUAAUGCAAUUAUGCAUGCUGGAACGACUGUGGAUACAUUCCUCAGGGAGAAUUUGGAUUGGUUGAGCAGGGCCACGAAUUGGGCCAAAUUUAGUGCCACGGCAGGGCUUGGCGUUAUCCAUAGAGGUCACUUGCAGCAGGG